Junco hyemalis (dark-eyed junco) is the source of this 1704-nucleotide long non-coding RNA. The record is from Ensembl. NCBI's taxonomy places the organism in Eukaryota, Metazoa, Chordata, Aves, Passeriformes, Passerellidae.
AUGUCUUUGUUCCACAACAUUUAUCACGGGAAGUGGAAAACCUCCAUGUACCAAGGGCUCUCUUUAACUGGAAUGGGAACAGACAGAACGUUGAGUCCAUGGAGGAUCAGAGGAGAUCCUUCACCUGUGAAACUUUGCUCUGUCAUCUUAAAUUGCUUUGUAGGUCAGCAAUUUAAAACUGAAGAUAUAUGUGAAUAUAUGUGCUUGGAUUCAUGUCUGUUGGAGGCUGAGGUCAACAAAGGUUGUUGCUGACAUCCCUAUACUACACACAAUCUGUGGGGGAUGUGAGAGUUACAUCUGAGCACCCAAUGGAACGAUGAAAACAGCUACCUGAAGCAUCAUCACAGCGAAACAUUGCCGAGCAGGAUGGUACAGUACUGAUGAUACUCUGUUUUCCUAUUUGUUCUAUAAUUUUUAAAAUGAAACUAUGGGUCUCAGGAAUUGAUGUAAGAGUUCCAGCCUACUUGUUGCAUAACCUCUCCUUCCAUCUAAGUAAGUAACUUCUCAGAAACAUAAGCCUGAAUCAUCCUCAUUCUUAGCAUAGAGUAGAUUCAGCAAAAUGUGGUUCCUGAUGUUGGUUGUUCCAGACCACCCUGCAGGAACCUGGGAACCUGGGAUUCCAGCUCUCUGAGGGACAGAUCGUGGCUUAAGCAUCUCCACAUCUAAGUCUUGGCAAUCUGUCCUCACAUCUUCAAAUACCACUUUGAAGUAAACCCCGGCCCAGGAGCCGAGCAUAAAUCUUAAGUCCACUCCAGGACUGAAAAGACCCUGAGCCAAAAAGAAAGAAAGAGGAUAAUUUUAUGUUCUCACACUGUGGACACAGAUAGCUUUGGUCCUUUCCAUGGUCUGGGCCAUGCUUGUGUUCUUCCUGGAUACUCUUCAAAGCUGAGUGUGUUUGCAGAGGAUGCUCCUGGAUUUCACCCCAGCUGGCAGCAGGGCAACCAUGAGCAACUGGUUCCACCUUUGUGCAAGAGAAAUUUAUGCUCUCAGUGAAAUUACAGCCUGAGCAAGAGUUGGGUGUUACAUGCCUGUCACUGUGCUUUUCUUUCCAGUAGGCCUGCAUGCUGCAAAAAAAAAAAAGUCAGUUAAUUCUUGAGUGACAGUUUGAUAAUAUUUCUGCAUUUUUUUUUUAAAUUCACCUAGGUCUAGCUUAUUUUCUCACAGAUAAUUGCUGUACUUAUAAGCCUUUAUCAGCUGCCAAAUGUGGCCAAAGCAACCACCAAUCUCAUCAGAGUGCAAUUCACUGACACAAAUCCAAGCAUCUGCAAAUAUUCUGCAGUCAUGGUUCUAGAUGCCACUGUUCAUGUGUGAUGUCUUAUCUUUAAGGAUUAUAGCCACACUCCUUGGGAAAUGGCAGUCAAAGAAGAAAAAGGCAAUUGAAUAUGCUGUUUUUCAAGCACCGGAACUGAAGACAGCUCUGGGCUAGCAUCUUUCCCCCAACAAGAACUUCCACUCUUGAAAGUCUCUUGCCUUUUUUUUUCUGGUUUGAUGUCAUAAAUCAGACACCCAAGAGACAGAGAGGAACUAGGACAGAUUUUUCAAAUGCAACAAACAGAGCAAAUGUAGCUGGGUGUCUCAAUGUCAAUUCUCAGUGCCCCAAAGAUUAGAGAGCAAUGCUUUUUCUGAACUGGCACAGAGAGGAGGGGAAGGGGGGAGCCAGGGGGAAAAAAUAAAUAAAUAUCUAACUGUAAUUCCUUUUAGUUC